This 388-nucleotide unclassified non-coding RNA is filed under the name uncultured Planctomycetota bacterium. RNAcentral's name for it is "uncultured planctomycete contains 16S-23S intergenic spacer region". Lineage: Bacteria; Pseudomonadati; Planctomycetota. The record is from RNAcentral.
UCCGUUUUGACAACGGCAGUCUCGUUAGAGUCCCCGGCAUUACCCGCUGGUAACUAACGACAAGGGUUGCGCUCGUUACGGGACUUAACCCAACAUCUCACGACACGAGCUGACGACAGCCAUGCAACACCUGUGUACGUUCCGACUCCGAAGAGCUGUCCUCCUGCUUUCACAGGAAUAAUCCGUACAUGUCAAGGCCAGGUAAGGUUCUUCGCGUUGCUUCGAAUUGAACCACAUGCUCCACCGCUUGUGUGAUCCCCCGUCAAUUCCUUUGAGUUUUACCCUUGCGAGCGUACUCCCCAGGCGGGGCACUUAACACAUUUGCUCCGGCAAUGAACAUCAUAGGAAAACCCAUUGCCCAGUGCCCAUCGUUUACAGCUAGGACUAC